UUUAAAAAAAAAAAAAAGCAUGCCAGUCUUAUUUUUUACUUUAAAAGUCAUCAUAAUUAGCCUGCUCGGUAGUAUAUGCAGCCUGUUGAUUAUAUGGAUUGCCCUAAGGGACCUUAGAGACAGCC
RNAcentral lists this small nucleolar RNA (125 nucleotides) under Mustela putorius furo (domestic ferret). RNAcentral's name for it is "Small nucleolar RNA SNORA70 (ENSMPUG00000021791.1)". It matches the Rfam family "Small nucleolar RNA SNORA70". Rfam says of the family: snoRNA U70 seems to be exclusive to mammals and is a member of the H/ACA class of snoRNA which contain H (ANANNA) and ACA box motifs. H/ACA box snoRNAs are involved in the conversion of uridines to pseudouridines (5-ribosyluracil) a constituent of structural RNAs (transfer, ribosomal, small nuclear, and small nucleolar). The record is from Rfam by way of RNAcentral. Lineage: Eukaryota; Metazoa; Chordata; Mammalia; Carnivora; Mustelidae.